CUCGGAUGAAAUCUGGAAGGUGAUCGACCGUCGUAGAAACUUGGAUGAAGUCUGGUUACUGUAGAAAAUUAGUUGAUAGCGAAGCUAAGAAAGCAUUUGGAGCAGCCCGGUAGAUGAAUGGAGGAGCUCAUUAUCGGAGAAGUUCGGAUGGUAUUAUGGAAGCUUGGACAGUCGGGGGAGUUCAGAAAGAUGCCACACA
RNAcentral lists this long non-coding RNA (199 nucleotides) under Elaeis guineensis (African oil palm). Its description in RNAcentral is "long non-coding RNA (EGUI_LNC063405)". The record is from RNAcentral. Lineage: Eukaryota; Viridiplantae; Streptophyta; Magnoliopsida; Arecales; Arecaceae.